GAUGAACGCUGACAGAAUGCUUAACACAUGCAAGUCAACUUGAAUUUGGGUUUUUAACUUAGGUUUGGGUGGCGGACGGGUGAGUAACGCGUAAAGAACUUGCCUCACAGCUAGGGACAACAUUUGGAAACGAAUGCUAAUACCAAAUAUUAUGAUAAUAGGGCAUCCUAUAAUUAUGAAAGCUAUAAGCGCUGUGAGAGAGCUUUGCGUCCCAUUAGCUAGUUGGAGAGGUAACGGCUCACCAAGGCGAUGAUGGGUAGCCGGCCUGAGAGGGUGAUCGGCCACAAGGGGACUGAGACACGGCCCUUACUCCUACGGGAGGCAGCAGUGGGGAAUAUUGGACAAUGGACCGAGAGUCUGAUCCAGCAAUUCUGUGUGCACGAUGAAGUUUUUCGGAAUGUAAAGUGCUUUCAGUUGGGAAGAAACAAAUGACGGUACCAACAGAAGAAGUGACGGCUAAAUACGUG
This 467-nucleotide ribosomal RNA is filed under the name uncultured bacterium. Its description in RNAcentral is "partial 16S ribosomal RNA". It matches the Rfam family "Bacterial small subunit ribosomal RNA", at positions 28 to 507 of the family's 1533-position model. The record is from RNAcentral.